ACAGUACAUCAUCCCUAAACGAUCCAUACUUCCCUCACUGACACCAUGUGGCCCACCUCCCAUCUAUAAUCUAUGUCUGGGUGUGAAGCCCUUCCCAUAUGAUCCCCCGAAUGGAACUUCACAAGUUCGAAUUCACUGGGUCACAGUGUGAUAGUGUGAAGAUGGGAAGACGUUAAGGGACGGCUAUGGGUGAGUUAGGAAAUGUGUUAGGCAGGGUCACAGAUUACCACAUCCUAAAAACAACAUUUAAGGAGGGAGAUGAAAAAACAAUCAAUGGAUAACAUGACUUUUUUCCAGUGAAAGUGCCAUAUGUAAUCGUUCUCCAUUUUUGUUCUCUGAGCUUCUUUCUCAGGCAAAAUCCUUCUUGAGAAGUCCCUGCUGAGUAUUAGGAAAAUGCAUUUCAGGACCUCUCAUCAACACACCCUCUUUCUUUACAACCACAUAUGUGGGGGCAUAACUCAACAUGUGUAAAAGACAAUCUGCUUUUCACUGAACCUCCAGGAAUUCAGGACAAUAAACCUCUACAUGGAGACCAA
Molecule: non-coding RNA, 536 nt
Filed under: Pongo abelii (Sumatran orangutan)
Lineage: Eukaryota; Metazoa; Chordata; Mammalia; Primates; Hominidae
Source: RNAcentral